AUCUCUUCCGUCAAUUGUGCCUUCUCGACAUUGUGUACCACAACUCCUCUCCAAAUUUCUUGUUGAAGUCUAUUAAUUUCUUUCUUGGCCUUGUCAAGUUUCUUUUGAGCUUUUUGAAGUCUCUCUUCUCGAUCGACGGCCUCUCCUUCGAAGAAUUUAAGUUUUUUUUUUAGACUCUUGAUAUGAGCUUUGAUAUUAACCACC
Molecule: long non-coding RNA, 204 nt
Filed under: Elaeis guineensis (African oil palm)
Lineage: Eukaryota; Viridiplantae; Streptophyta; Magnoliopsida; Arecales; Arecaceae
Description: long non-coding RNA (EGUI_LNC005407)
Source: RNAcentral